RNAcentral lists this ribosomal RNA (590 nucleotides) under Candida albicans. RNAcentral describes it as "LSU rRNA". It matches the Rfam family "Eukaryotic large subunit ribosomal RNA", at positions 47 to 652 of the family's 3401-position model. The record is from RNAcentral. Lineage: Eukaryota; Fungi; Ascomycota; Pichiomycetes; Serinales; Debaryomycetaceae.
UAAGCGGAGGAAAAGAAACCAACAGGGAUUGCCUCAGUAGCGGCGAGUGAAGCGGCAAAAGCUCAAAUUUGAAAUCUGGCGUCUUUGGCGUCCGAGUUGUAAUUUGAAGAAGGUAUCUUUGGGCCCGGCUCUUGUCUAUGUUCCUUGGAACAGGACGUCACAGAGGGUGAGAAUCCCGUGCGAUGAGAUGACCCGGGUCUGUGUAAAGUUCCUUCGACGAGUCGAGUUGUUUGGGAAUGCAGCUCUAAGUGGGUGGUAAAUUCCAUCUAAAGCUAAAUAUUGGCGAGAGACCGAUAGCGAACAAGUACAGUGAUGGAAAGAUGAAAAGAACUUUGAAAAGAGAGUGAAAAAGUACGUGAAAUUGUUGAAAGGGAAGGGCUUGAGAUCAGACUUGGUAUUUUGCAUGCUGCUCUCUCGGGGGCGGCCGCUGCGGUUUACCGGGCCAGCAUCGGUUUGGAGCGGCAGGAUAAUGGCGGAGGAAUGUGGCACGGCUUCUGCUGUGUGUUAUAGCCUCUGACGAUACUGCCAGCCUAGACCGAGGACUGCGGUUUUUACCUAGGAUGUUGGCAUAAUGAUCUUAAGUCGCCCGU